GUCCACGCCGUAAACGAUGUCGACUAGCCGUUGGGGUCCUUGAGACUUUAGUGGCGCAGCUAACGCAUUAAGUCGACCGCCUGGGGAGUACGGCCGCAAGGUUAAAACUCAAAUGAAUUGACGGGGGCCCGCACAAGCGGUGGAGCAUGUGGUUUAAUUCGAAGCAACGCGAAGAACCUUACCUGGCCUUGACAUGCUGAGAACUUUCUAGAGAUAGAUUGGUGCCUUCGGGAACUCAGACACAGGUGCUGCAUGGCUGUCGU
This 263-nucleotide ribosomal RNA is filed under the name uncultured bacterium. RNAcentral's name for it is "partial 16S ribosomal RNA". It matches the Rfam family "Bacterial small subunit ribosomal RNA", at positions 793 to 1055 of the family's 1533-position model. The record is from RNAcentral.